CUUCCUGGGAGAGGCAGCCUGGGCCUGGGCAACAGGGUGGUGCCAGAGUCGGGGCCGCUGGGAUCCUGCCAACGACUCCUCCCUGCAUGGCUGACCUUGGUCUCUUUCCUUCCUGACACCUCCGUUUCUUCCCAGGACAGGGGAGGCGGUCAUGCAUACUCCCGAAAGCCUGCCAGCUCUCUGCCUGGAGACUUGCCUGUGGUCACAAUGUGUCACCUCCCAGGAGAUGUUCCACUUUUCAAGCAGUGCCCAGAGGAACUGGAAGCAGCCCAAAGAAGGGGAAAGGAGACGCGUUUGUGUGAAUUUCAAUCAGCAGUUGGUUCAGAGGCAAAAAGAAGCUGCCUUGCGUUCCGAGAGGUCCGCGCGAAGGUGCCUUUCAGCUCUGAGCUGCCAGAGCAUUCUGGGGCUGAACCUACAGCCAGCUGGAGUCCUGAGCCUGCCCGGGGCGCCACGGGUUAAACCACUCCCGUGAAUGUGCUGGCUGGCCUCAGAGCAAACGGGGAUAGUGGGCUGGCUCGUGUUCUGCACUAACGCAUUGGCUUUUUUUCCACUGCAGCCUCCCAUUCUCUGAUAAACCUGAGUUGCUAGGAAAGCUUUAUGUAACACCCGUCGCCGGCCUCAGCUUCUCUGAGCAGCAAGUGUUCUGUUUCCAGAGUUCCCCAUAAACCUGGCAGAACAUCAAAACCUCUGUUUCAUAACAGACCAGAAAUAGGAUUUUCUAAUAACAUUCUGAGGACUGGACUUAUCGUGCAGGGGUCUGGACUUUUAUGAAUUGUUAAUGGUUAACUAAACAGAGACCUCCACGAUGCUCAACCUGCUAUCUCUGGGGUCGAGGAGGGGAGGGGAGUCGGAAGAAUGUGGUGUCUCCAGCCACGAUCUGUUGGUUCGUGACCUGUGGCCCCUUUCAGAGAAUUUGCUAAAUAAUCUCAAACAUAUUGAGGCUCUCACUCAUGUUUUAAAAAAAGAACAGGAGGGAAAAAAGCUACCCUCUUCCUGCUCGUUUCUUCAUUCAUGGAGAAUGUGGUUUCCUCUUAUUUUGUUGCCAGGUACGCUGACAGUGACAGACGUCACCCCCAGCUUUCCUCUGGGAUGGGCAGCGCUCGUCACUGGACACACCUAGUGUGGGCGAUCCAAUUCUCCCUAUGCAACACACAGCUGCACAGCUAAACCUCAAACCCGCGAACUGUGGGCUGAUGGAGGGACUGCUGCAGGAAAGAAGGCAGCAUGAGGCGACCUCGCCCUCCUCCCUCACAUCCAGGGCUCACCUCCCUGGCCGGCCACCCUGCCUGGUCCGGUCCUGGUUCAGAUUGUGACAGGGAUAGGAGUUCCCUCCAAAAGGCCAUUUGCAGUCUAUUUAGCUGUCUCUUGGGAGACUUCUUCCGGGGUUCCAGCUACAUAUCCCUUUGUUCCAUGUCGUCAGGUCUGUCUUCCUUCGGGUUCUGCCUGGACCGUCUUUCUUCUGCCCUCCGUGUGCUGUCAACACAUGAGCAUCACUUCAAAACAAAAGUAGCCCCAGGAAAGCGCGACUGUUGAGGGCAGGGCUUGGGGUCAGUCAGGCUCACUUUUGGGGAGGAUUCGGUGUCACUGGAGGCACAGCUGCCUCCAGCAAUAAGGGGAUGCUGCGAGAAGAUGCGGCCUCGCAGCUCCCCGCCUCCCCUCCUGCAUCCCUGCCGUCUCCCAGCCGUUUCCCCCGUCAGCUCUCUGGACUCCUCUGAACACCCCAGGGGAGGCUGAGCUGCGCUGCACGCGCCCCCCCCCCCAGCCCUCGCUCCGCGCUCCUGUGUGCUUUCCCUGUUUUGAGCUUAAUUGCCACCUUUCCCUCCCCGGCCUCCUCAAACAGCUCCCGCAUUCCUCUCCCUUCUCAUUUUCGGAACUUUGGUCCCCAGAGGCACCAGCUCAGGACUCUGCAGGACGGUCCUCACUGACUGUUUCCUCCGCUGUCACAGACGUGAUUUCUCCGGCGUCUCUGGUGUUUGUGGCUCUUUCCUACUUGGUUUCAUCAGAGUGUAAUUUACCUGCUAUUUACCCUUUCUUCUGGAUCCCGAGCAAAAAUGAUAACGAAAAGCCUCCUGUCCCGUCACGGCUGUGCCCGUGCCAAGCAGGGCCCUCGGGAAGCCCACCCACCCACAUGGCUCCAUGGAAACCAGCCAGAGGGGCUUCGCUCCCAGGGUGAGAUUUAAUAUCCCUGAGAUCCAUUUAGUGUCUGGACACCUGGUUGCUAUGGAGAUGGUUGUCAUAAAAACACACCGAUCAGUGGAGAGAUAGAAAACCGGGUCCGCGGUACCCGAUCAGAUGCGGUAGCUCAGAGGAAGGGCUGCUUACCGCCUCCCUUUGUUGACACAGGGCCUCUGCCUUUCAAACUCAUCCUGGGAGACCUUCUCAGAACCAGGCCAACGCAAAUCCACUUCAGUUAGUAUUUCGUAAGGGACAGUCAAGGGCUUCACUAAAUGCCAGAUGCCCCAUCCUCCUGUCCCGAGCUGAGUCAGCCCAGGAGAAGACGAUGUUCCUCUCUGGCACAGUCUGUUCUCUGCUGUCGUUGAUCCAUCAGCCCAGCCGAGCAGGCAGAGUGAAAACUCUGACCCUGACGGCGCUUCAGACCAGGUGGCUGGGAGUGAGUAACAGGUGUGAGCAGGGAGGCCUUGGAUGCACUGCCCUGUUUGCAGGGGCCCCCAGAGAGCAACCCAGGAGGUAUUGUAGACCUGUGUCUGUCGUCUGCCAGCUCAGGAUGGGUGAUUUCAUCAAGAGACACCAGUAAGGUGUGUAGUGUGUAGGCGUCCACUAACCACCUUCACCUCCUCGUCAUCUGAAGUCUCAAAGCCUGCGUUCUGUGAUCACCAGCUAAAGGUUAAUCUCCCUCUUGGUCUGGUCUAUGUGCAGAAACCAGGAAAGUAUUUCUGUCCUCUCUCUUGACUGUGCAGCUCUGGGUGUAAAGGGGCAGGCACAAGGCACCCAGCGUAGCUGGAGUCCUUCUGAAAUUUAUGCUGGGUAGGGGGUGAAAGGAGGAUUUGGGUUCCUAUUUUUAGCUCUGCCCUCCUGGAGUAGGAAAUGACUGGGGGGAAAAAAAAAGCAGCUCUGGUGGCAGCUGCACUGUGAAUGCAGGGAAGGUUUGCUCUCGAGCCGGCUCCCAUCAGCAAGCCUGCAUCAGCACCUGAGAUCUGGCCACCUUCUGUGCCCUGUCUUCUCUGGGAAGAUGUCUGAAUUCUGGAAAUGGGUCAUAACCUAGUCGUCGACCUGGUCUUCGAUCUUCAACAACUCCCUUGAUUACCCAGGGCCUCAGUUGCCUUCUAGUUUAUCGGGGGCUGUAUUUCUGUUUCUGUUUAAUACCAAACAGCAUUUCAAACUCCUUUUGCUUUGUGCAUCUUCUCAUACUGCCACUGAGAGAGGAGGUAAACAUGAGAUCCGGACUAAUGUGUACAGCUCUGAGGACAGUGAACGCAUUCAUUGUGCACAACAUUAGUAUGAAAUGCAAUGUCACGUUCCUAGUACCCUGGAUAUACUGGAUGGCAUUAAAAAUAAUUGCCUCUAGAAGA
Molecule: non-coding RNA, 3530 nt
Organism: Vicugna pacos (alpaca)
Lineage: Eukaryota; Metazoa; Chordata; Mammalia; Artiodactyla; Camelidae
Source: RefSeq, a predicted model, not a curated record